GGAGAGGUGGCCGAGCGGUCGAAGGCGCACGAUUGGAAAUCGUGUAUACGGGAAACCGUAUCGAGGGUUCGAAUCCCUCUCUCUCCGCCA
This 90-nucleotide transfer RNA is filed under the name Alphaproteobacteria bacterium GWA2_41_27. RNAcentral describes it as "tRNA-Ser". It matches the Rfam family "tRNA". From Rfam's summary of the family: Transfer RNA (tRNA) molecules are approximately 80 nucleotides in length. RNAcentral also lists the same sequence under 10 other names. The record is from RNAcentral. Lineage: Bacteria; Pseudomonadati; Pseudomonadota; Alphaproteobacteria.